This 253-nucleotide ribosomal RNA is filed under the name uncultured prokaryote. RNAcentral's name for it is "partial 16S ribosomal RNA". It matches the Rfam family "Bacterial small subunit ribosomal RNA", at positions 525 to 777 of the family's 1533-position model. The record is from RNAcentral.
ACGAACCGUGCAAACGUUGUUCGGAUUCACUGGGCUUAAAGGGCGCGUAGGCGGGCGGUCGAGUCCGGGGUGAAAUCUUUCAGCUCAACUGGAAAAGUGCCUUGGAUACCGGCCGUCUCGAGGGAGGUAGGGGCAUGCGGAACUUCCGGUGGAGCGGUGAAAUGCGUAGAUAUCGGAAGGAACGCCGGUGGCGAAAGCGACGUGCUGGACUGACACUGACGCUGAUGCGCGAAAGCUAGGGGAGCGAACGGGA